AAGUSAACAUCACUAUUUUCCGAAACUCCACGUUACCUMAAACAAAUUCACGCGACAGAUUCAAUAUUUCGUCGAGAGRGUGCGAUAAUAACASUGAUCUUUGUACAACGUUUGGCGGCACUAAAUUACAAGACAACUGUCAAUGUACCUGCGGUGAAGAUAAAAGUACUUUUGGAUUUUAUGAUGGAAAGUGGAAAUGUACAAAGAACUCGGUUGUGCGACAACAUUCAGGCUGCUCGUACUACUUACAUAGUUUCUAUAGCGGGGAUUUACAGGACGCUCCAUUGUAUACCUUACCAGUUCUUGGUCYUGSUAACGAUAAUAACUUUGUCAGAGGUAUUCCACAAGGUAAAAGUUGCAAUUUCGUUAAGAACAAUGCCACGUUCUUGAAGUGCGAUGGARCCUGGGGCCAACUGAACGAGCAGAAUUUUAAAGAAGUUUUAGUAUUGGCGUUAUCAGGGCAAUUUCUUUACGUUGGUCCGUUCAUCGACCCACCGCAACGAAAAAAUGUUUUAACUGGUAAAGUUAUCAGAAUUCCUAUCAAAUGCAGUGGUAUUACCUGGUUUCCUUCCCAGUGUGUGGCUAUGAAACUGAAAGGGAAAGU
Exaiptasia diaphana is the source of this 604-nucleotide long non-coding RNA. RefSeq lists it as uncharacterized. Lineage: Eukaryota; Metazoa; Cnidaria; Anthozoa; Actiniaria; Aiptasiidae. The record is from RefSeq and is a predicted model, not a curated record. The transcript is spliced from 3 exons.